This 283-nucleotide long non-coding RNA is filed under the name Elaeis guineensis (African oil palm). RNAcentral's name for it is "long non-coding RNA (EGUI_LNC050973)". The record is from RNAcentral. Lineage: Eukaryota; Viridiplantae; Streptophyta; Magnoliopsida; Arecales; Arecaceae.
GACCGUCGUUGCUCCUACAAUAUGCUCCAUCAUAGCAUUAAAAAAUCCUAGAGUGACCGCAGCUCCACUCCCUUGCCUCGGACCCACCUAUGCUAGUGGAAGUCUCAGAGCCACCUAUGGUCCGUGCUGGUGGAAGUCUCCUCACAAGUCUUUGGGUUCUCUCUGCAUUAUAUCACUAUCGUAGCAUCUAUCUUCGAUGCAUACACCUCUAGGCCCUCUCCUGGUGCCCGCUCACUGCUGCCCAAGCACCUGGUAGACUCCCCUCCCUUUGCACCUCCUCGCC